This 433-nucleotide ribosomal RNA is filed under the name uncultured bacterium. RNAcentral's name for it is "partial 16S ribosomal RNA". It matches the Rfam family "Bacterial small subunit ribosomal RNA", at positions 29 to 507 of the family's 1533-position model. The record is from RNAcentral.
AACGAACGCUGGCGGCAUGCCUAACACAUGCAAGUCGAACGAGACCUUCGGGUCUAGUGGCGCACGGGUGCGUAACGCGUGGGAACCUGCCCUUAGGUUCGGAAUCACUCCCCGAAAGGGGUGCUAAUACCGGAUAAUGUCUUCGGACCAAAGAUUUAUCGCCUUUGGAUGGGCCCGCGUUGGAUUAGCUAGUUGGUAGGGUAAAAGCCUACCAAGGCGACGAUCCAUAGCUGGUCUGAGAGGAUGAUCAGCCACACUGGGACUGAGACACGGCCCAGACUCCUACGGGAGGCAGCAGUGGGGAAUAUUGGACAAUGGGCGAAAGCCUGAUCCAGCAAUGCGGCGUGAGUGAUGAAGGCCUUAGGGUUGUAAAGCUCUUUUACCCGGGAUGAUAAUGACAGUACCGGGAGAAUAAGCUCCGGCUAACUCCGUG